GGGGAUUUAGCUCAGCGGCAGAGCGCUUGCCUAGCAAGCACAAGGCCCUGGGUUCGGUCCCCAGCUCCG
This 69-nucleotide transfer RNA is filed under the name Rattus norvegicus (Norway rat). It matches the Rfam family "tRNA". Rfam says of the family: Transfer RNA (tRNA) molecules are approximately 80 nucleotides in length. Their secondary structure includes four short double-helical elements and three loops (D, anti-codon, and T loops). Lineage: Eukaryota; Metazoa; Chordata; Mammalia; Rodentia; Muridae. The record is from Rfam by way of RNAcentral.